RNAcentral lists this ribosomal RNA (883 nucleotides) under uncultured bacterium. RNAcentral's name for it is "bacterial SSU rRNA". It matches the Rfam family "Bacterial small subunit ribosomal RNA", at positions 8 to 890 of the family's 1533-position model. The record is from RNAcentral.
AGAGUUUGAUCCUGGCUCAGAACGAACGCUGGCGGCGUGCUUAACACAUGCAAGUCGCGUGCGCAGUUUCCGUAGCAAUACGGGGAUAGGCGCACGGCGCACGGGUGCGUAACACGUGGGUAAUCUGCCCUCCGAUGGGGAAUAACCCCGCGAAAGCGGGGCUAAUACCCCAUAACAUUCCUUGGACGAUGGUUCGAGGAUUCAAAGCAGUAAUGCGUCGGAGGAGGAACCCGCGCCCGAUUAGCUAGUUGGUGAGGUAAUGGCUCACCAAGGCAAUGAUCGGUAGCUGGUCUGAGAGGAUGAUCAGCCACACUGGAACUGAGACACGGUCCAGACUCCUACGGGAGGCAGCAGUGGGGAAUCUUGCACAAUGGGCGAAAGCCUGAUGCAGCGACGCCGCGUGGGGGAUGAAGCUUCUCGGAGUGUAAACCCCUUUCGCCUGGGACGAAUGCCCGCAAGGGAGUGACGGUACCAGGAUAAGAAGCCCCGGCUAACUACGUGCCAGCAGCCGCGGUAAGACGUAGGGGGCCAGCGUUGUUCGGAAUUACUGGGUGUAAAGGGUUCGUAGGCGGUGUGGCAAGUUGGGAGUGAAAUCUCUGGGCUCAACCCAGAGGCUGCUUCCAAAACUGCUGUGCUUGAGUGUGAGAGAGGCUCGUGGAAUUGCAGGUGUAGCGGUGAAAUGCGUAGAUAUCUGCAGGAACACCCGUGGCGAAAGCGGCGAGCUGGAUCACUACUGACGCUGAGGAACGAAAGCUAGGGGAGCAAACAGGAUUAGAUACCCUGGUAGUCCUAGCCCUAAACGAUCAGGACUUAGGGUGCCGCCCGUUCGGGCGUCGUCCCGGAGCUAACGCGUUAAGUCCUGCACCUGGGGAGUACGGUCGCA